Bombus pascuorum is the source of this 396-nucleotide long non-coding RNA. RefSeq lists it as uncharacterized. The transcript has 2 exons. The record is from RefSeq and is a predicted model, not a curated record. NCBI's taxonomy places the organism in Eukaryota, Metazoa, Arthropoda, Insecta, Hymenoptera, Apidae.
GCACACUAACAUUUGUUGUCGACAAAAGGUUUAUCAUACGUUUUAUGAAAUAAAAUGCAUUUCUUUGUUUCUAUUACCGUUUGCCAUUUAAAAAAUCAAUGCAUUACGCUCACGAAAAGGGUAUCACAAAAGGUGCGGCAUGCCUGCUAUGUGUAGUCGUAAAGAAGGAGAACAAAGUAAUAUUUUACGCAGAACGUGUUUAUAUGAUUAUUACUUACUUUUGGUCAUUUUUUUGAACACUAUUAUUUUUUAUUAUGGUACAAACAAUACGAAGUACAGAAAUCUCUACUAGUAAAGUGUAAUCUAUGAUUUCAAAGUUAUUUUCGUUGUAUCACUUUUGACAGUGAUAAAUUCUUCUCGUGGAUUAGUCUUUCUUUCGCAAAUAUAAAACGGAUC